CCCAACCUUGGCCACACCCCCUUCCACUGCCAUUGAGGUCUCAGGGUUCAGAUCCCUGUCACCCUCAGCCAGGGGAGGGCCACUGCACUGCAAGAUGCUGUACUGGGAAGAGGAGUGGGUGACAGCAGGCGAGAAAGUGACCUGGCCCUAGUGUGGCUCUGCCGGGUCCCAUGGUCCCAGGAGGGCACCAGCUGAUGGGCAGUGCUCUGGUCAUGGAAACCCGGGCUGGAGGGAACCAACAGUUGAGUGACUUCCGGGCUCUCGAGUGUCACCUACUUGGUUCCCACAUUGAGACCCAGCAGCUGGCACCCGGCCAGAGCAGGCGACGUCGGUGCCCUCGGGAGUUUCCUCACCUUGGCCGCUCACUGGCCCUCCCCGUCACCACACACUCUUUCUCUCUUGUGUUCUUAUUUUUUGUCUCCCUCCACCCAAGUGGAGCCCCGUGAAAGCAAGGAUUAUUUCUUGUUCACAGCCACCCACACAUACACGCCCUUUUACACAGUAUACGUGCAUAGUACGUGCUCACUAAAUAUCUUAGGAAUCAAUCGGCAAAGCAGCAGAAAACAGAGCGGCAGCGGUUGCUCUCCGGGCGUUUCAGUUUGGAAACGGUGGGGCGCUCCUUCCCCGCCCCCCCCCCGCCCUCCCGCAGGGCGCCCCGCCGCAGCAGGCGGUCCCUAGCUUUCCUCUGGGCCCCCAGGGAGGCGGCUGGCCCGCGGCAGCCCGGAGGCCAGUCCGGAGGAGGGCGCCCCGCCCCGUGCUUAUUACCCGGGUGUGCACGCACGCCCUGGAAUUUGGAAUCUGGCGUGCGAAUGUGAACCCCGCAAGGGCAGCGCGUUCCCGGGCGCCGGCCGGGGGUAGUCUCUGGAGAGGGCGGCGCUCCCCGGGGUGGUAAUUCCACUCCGCGCAUCCAUUAUUCACCGGCACCGCUCGCCGCCAGAGCGCCGGCUCUGCGCUUCCCGCGCGCCUGUCCCCCAGCAAUCGGGGGCUGCGGCGCCAGGCCAGGCCAGGCCGAGGCGAUCGAGGGGGCCGCGGGGCUGCACGGAGGGAAGGCGCCUCUGUCCCCUGUCCCGACCCACCGCAGCUCCAGCGGAGCCAUGAGGCAGAUGCUCGGAGGCCUUCCGCAGCGGGGCUGCAAGGCCCAGCGAUCUGGACACAGGCCAAGAAGUCAAGGACUGUUGAAGCCGUAGUCUCCACUCUUCUCCCAACACCAGCGACCACCCAGCCCAGCCAAGCCAUAUGGCCUCUUGCUUUGCUGAUGUAUGAGGCACAGGUUUUUGGAGGUCACUUUCCAUGAGGGGAUCCCUAGUUGGGAAGCUGCUGUACCUCUUCCAGAAGUUUCCAUCUUCCAGGGUCUGGAAGAGCAAUCAGCCAACACAGGACCACGCCGCUCAUUGUCAACUAAAUCCUGGGCACCAGGGAGGUAGAAAUGACAUUACAUUGGAAACUUGCCAUGUCCUGCCCCUGAUCAGCUUCCACCCACACACUUCACUUCUGCAGAGCCAAAGAAGGCUCAGCCCAAAUUAAGAGGAACCCUGCCUCUGCGGACAAAGCACAAACAGGAGCGGGUUUAUCCCCUGCACCUCCACAUUCCCACUUUAAUCAUUUGCCGGUAACUAACUUGUCUCCAUUUGGAAAGCUCCUAAGAAAAAUUCUACCUGACACUACGUAGACCGUAAGGCCUAGUUACUUAUGGGUGGUUAUUUUAUUGGAUAAUUCAUCUUGGAUUUUAUUGGAUAACUCAUGGUAAUUCAUACUGGACGGGAGAUGAAGCUCUCCGCCGUGAGCUGUGUGGUUUCAGGACAGUGACUUGGUUUAUCCUGAUCGUCCCUUCUCAGGACCAGAGGGCAUCAGGAGCCAGUCCGAGCCCAGGACUGGGCUGGCACCUGACCUCUGCCCUGUGUUUGGUAAUGGAUUUGACUUCUGCAGUCACUGCUGCAGCGUCUCUGGUCAGCUUGAAUUUGGGAACCUCUGGUGUGGUGGACUGACGGCUGGUAGGCAGCUUGUAACACCAGCUGAACUGCGUCAGCACGGUACUGGGAGUGGAGAGCCCACCAAAGGGUUGUUGCCAGUAACAUAGAAAAAGAACUGGAGAGGAAGAGGUGGUGCUGUUGGUUUUCCCAGAGAAGGUUGUCACACUGGCUUCCUGAUAUGAACUUUGGUAUCAUCAUUGGAGGAGCUCAGGGCCUCUUUGUCACUGAGGAUGGCUGGGGUACUUCUGGGGGAGCUCUGGUCCUUACUUGGAGCAUCACUUCCUGGAUCAGUGCAGAACCCUCAGCCUGCUGGCACAGCUCCUUCACCCUGCAGGUGCAGAGUUUCUAGCUUCUACCACUGACCUUUGGGCCUUCCCAGCACAGAUCCUUGGUACAGACUUGCACAAGACAUUGUCAUGGGCUCUGGGCUUCUGGUUGGACUUGUGGACAUUGUCAUGGGCUCUAGGUCUUUACCUGGACUUGUACAGGACCUUGCCAUGGAAUCCAGGCCCUGCACUGGAUCUUUGGGUCUCAAGUGUUUGGAGAGAUCUCCCUCACUCCUUUGUAUUUGACUCUUUGGGGGACUCCUAUAAAAUAACCCUACAAAUUACACGUCCUGUGUGAAGUUGUUUCUCCUGCCACACCAACUGGAAAGUAGACGGGAUCUUUCCAUUCCUGAUGAAGCCACAGCCUUACUCCAUGUCGUCUGUAACUGCUGAGACACAGACGUGACUGACCAGCUGUUAUGAGUUGAGCUCGGUUCCUCCCAAAAUCAUGGCAUAGCCCUAAGCCCUGGGAUCUGCAAAUGGGGCCUUAUUUGGAAAUAAGAUCUUUCCAAAUGUAACCCAAUCAAGGCCCUCAGGGUGGGCCAAUGUGACUGGGUCCUUCGAAGAAGAAGGUGUCACAUGAAGAGAGAGACAUGGAAGGGACAUCAUGCAAUCACAGAGGCCAGGACUGCAGCGAUGGAGCCGCAAGCCAAGGGUGCCCAGCACCCAGAGCGAAGGGCUUCACCCAGAGUCUCAGAGGAGGCUCGGCCCUGCCUCCAAAAUCUCAAUAAAAUGCAAUUCUGCUGCCAUCAGCCCUGGGAAGCGAAUGUGCCAGCCAUGUUCCUGGGCUGUUUACUUUAUCUCUGAAUUCUCAGCUUAUUCUUUAUGUUGGAAAGCACUAAAGAUCUCCAGAAUCUCACAGAUGUUUCUAUAUAAGCGGAAGGAAUCCAGUGUUACCCUGUUCCUCCCUCCCUCGUCCCUGGGAGGAUGUCUCAGGAGUUUCCUGAUGAAAUCUUUUAUUUGAGGCAACUCUGAGGCCAGAAUCUGUCUGAGCAGGGACAGGCAGGGGGGCUGGCAGCUCCAGUGUCACCAGCAGGACAGAAACAGACCUGACGCAGAGGCGACAGCUCUUGGGGGAGCACAGCCGAGUAGGGUGGCUGCUGUCGAGCUUGGGGCCGAGUGAGGAUGGGGGAACCUUGCAGCCCCAGAAUCUUCGGAGCUGGGACAGGAGCAGGGGGCAGCCACUCUGUUCCCUGAGGAAACCUCACCUUUGGCACUUCCCGCUGCCGGGUUUCCCAGAGCCUCUGCCUCCAUGUCCAUCAGCCUCGGCAGGGGUUGUCUGAGAAUAGGGUACAUGUGCAACAUAUUUGCGUCAGGGGCCUGCACACAGACGGCGCCCGUGAGCAUUCCACGCCUUUGUUACUGACACAAGGGACCCACUUAAGCUGGACCUUAGAAAGGCAGCAGGGACCCUAGAGCAGAGUCUCCCACAGGUAUCUUCUGACUUACAUGGUGUGUACCGCUGUUGGGCUGAACAGUCAGAGCUCCAUACGUGCUAGAAAAGCACCUGCCACUGAGCUACAUCCCUGUCCCAAAAAGCCAAAGCUGCCUAGACCUUGGCGCCGGCAAGUUUACUAAAAAUCUGCUAACUGUGAGCUGAGCUUGCCCACGUGUGUGGUGCCCGUACCCAAGGAAACUCAGGACAGUACCCCAAGCUGCGGGUCUCUCUGAAUAUCACUGUCCUUUUACUGGUUUAUUCACACCAUGACUUCACCCUGAUGUAUGGCAGACCUCAGCCUGGCCCUACAAAGAAGCAAAAAAUGAAUCGGGCUAAAGCUCAGAGGUACAACACGCACAAGGCCCUGGGUUUGGGCUCCAGCAGUGCAAAAUUAGACAGACAGACACAGACACUGAGACUUGGGGCUGGAAUUCAGUACCACCAAAAAUAAAUAUAUACAUAAAAUAAAAUUUUUAAAUCCCGGCCUCAAAGACCUGCUGAGAUCAGAAUAAAUAAAUCCAUCUACCCAGUCGUUAUCCACCUGUCCAUCCACCCAGCUGUCCACGCAGGCUACUCUGAGGCAUCUACUAUCUUCCGUCUCAUGCAGAAGACAGAUGUUGCCCUAACUCAAGCGGAAUGAUUUUAGGGGUGUUAGGAAAAUACUCAAGAUCUCCUUCCCCUAAAACCUACUUGACCUACUUGAUUAGUGCUUGAAAUUUCACUAGUGAAUUAUCAUUUAGAUUUUAAAAUAUUCCUUGGAUGUGUGAAGUGUGACACCUUUAUGGGUCAUUGGUGCCCCAGAGCUAAGGAAAGAGGAGAGGGCAGGCUUUGGACAGGGGUUCUGGGGAAGAAGGGCUGGACACCCCAAGAGGAACCUCCCUGCCCCCUCAUACUCCCUGGCAUGGGCUGACCCAGUGUGUGCCUGGGCCCCAGGAUCUUCAAGGUGUCACCUGCCUGCCGAGCGCUCUGAACUGCUGUUCAACAACUGUUGGAAGAACGAGGGACAGAUCAACACGUUUUACUUAGACCAAAGCACGUGAUGUCCCGGUGACUUUGUCCUUGAACCCAGGAAAGGGUUGUCUGGUCCAUCCACAAGCCUCAGCACCUUUCCUGCUUCAGCCCGGACCGGGACUGACUUCUCCAAAGAAAGUCACGACAACGAAGCUUCAGUGGUGCUUCUACCAAACACAGCCCUACGCCGCGUCGUUCACUGUGACAUGGAACGCUCCCCAGGACUGUUGUAAUAUUUUAAACAGUUUUGACUUGGUAUUUUCUCUCUGCAGGAUUUACCAAGAACACAGAGUGCCAAGAAUUCAAUUGUAAAAUAAAUGAAUCAUCUGUGGUCAAAUCAUCCCACAGGCAAAAUUAUUCUUUUAAAACUCUCCAAAAGAAUCCAGCACCAAAUUGUAGAUAA
This is an RNA transcript of Cavia porcellus (domestic guinea pig), 5148 nucleotides long. It is a transcript of the gene named claudin 14, with no coding region annotated. The transcript is spliced from 3 exons. The record is from RefSeq and is a predicted model, not a curated record. Lineage: Eukaryota; Metazoa; Chordata; Mammalia; Rodentia; Caviidae.